Molecule: ribosomal RNA, 353 nt
Filed under: uncultured bacterium
Lineage: Bacteria
Description: bacterial SSU rRNA
Rfam family: Bacterial small subunit ribosomal RNA
Source: RNAcentral
GGGCCCGCACAAGCGGUGGAGCAUGUGGUUUAAUUCGAUGAUACGCGAGGAACCUUACCAGGGCUUAAAUGUAGUUUGACCGGUCUGGAAACAGACUUUCUCUUCGGAGCAGAUUACAAGGUGCUGCAUGGUUGUCGUCAGCUCGUGCCGUGAGGUGUUAGGUUAAGUCCUGCAACGAGCGCAACCCCUAUUCUUAGUUGCCAGCGGUUCGGCCGGGGACUCUAAGAAGACUGCCAGCGCAAGCUGAGAGGAAGGUGGGGAUGACGUCAAAUCAUCACGGCCCUUACGUCCUGGGCUACACACGUGCUACAAUGGUAGAGACAGAGGGUUGCGAAGCGGCGACGUGGAGCCAA